RNAcentral lists this ribosomal RNA (415 nucleotides) under uncultured bacterium. RNAcentral's name for it is "bacterial SSU rRNA". It matches the Rfam family "Bacterial small subunit ribosomal RNA", at positions 917 to 1333 of the family's 1533-position model. The record is from RNAcentral.
GGACCCGCACAAGCGGUGGAGCAUGUGGUUUAAUUCGAUGCAACGCGAAAAACCUUACCUACUCUUGACAUACUUGGAAGCUCUUGUAAUGAGAGUGUGCCUUUUGGAACCAAGAUACAGGUGCUGCAUGGCUGUCGUCAGCUCGUGUCGUGAGAUGUUCCGUUAAGUCGGAUAACGAGCGCAACCCUUACCCUUAUUUGCCAGCGAUUCGGUCGGGAACUAUAAGGGGACUGCCGGUGAUAAACCGGAGGAAGGUGAGGACGACGUCAAGUCAUCAUGGCCCUUACGAGUAGGGCUACACACGUGCUACAAUGGGGAAUACAGACGGACGCUAAGCCGCGAGGUGGUGCUAAUCCUAGAAAACGUCUCGUAGUCCGGAUUGGAGUCUGCAACUCGACUCCAUGAAGUCGGAAUC